GACGAACGCUGGCGGCGUGCUUAACACAUGCCAGUCGAGCGGAAAGGCCCUGCUUUUGUGGGGUGCUCGAGUGGCGAACGGGUGAGUAACACGUGAGUAACCUGCCCUUGACUUUGGGAUAACUUCAGGAAACUGGGGCUAAUACCGGAUAGGAGCUCCUGCUGCAUGGUGGGGGUUGGAAAGUUUCGGCGGUUGGGGAUGGACUCGCGGCUUAUCAGCUUGUUGGUGGGGUAGUGGCUUACCAAGGCUUUGACGGGUAGCCGGCCUGGGAGGGUGACCGGCCACAUUGGGACUGAGAUACGGCCCAGACUCCUACGGGAGGCAGCAGUGGGGAAUAUUGCACAAUGGGCGGAAGCCUGAUGCAGCAACGCCGCGUGCGGGAUGACGGCCUUCGGGUUGUAAACCGCUUUCGCCUGUGACGAAGCGUGAGUGACGGUAAUGGGUAAAGAAGCACCGGCUAACUACGUG
RNAcentral lists this ribosomal RNA (468 nucleotides) under uncultured bacterium. Its description in RNAcentral is "partial 16S ribosomal RNA". It matches the Rfam family "Bacterial small subunit ribosomal RNA", at positions 28 to 507 of the family's 1533-position model. The record is from RNAcentral.